RNAcentral lists this long non-coding RNA (3470 nucleotides) under Sus scrofa (pig). RNAcentral's name for it is "lncRNA (ENSSSCG00000058483.1)". The record is from RNAcentral. Lineage: Eukaryota; Metazoa; Chordata; Mammalia; Artiodactyla; Suidae.
AAGUAUAAAAAUACCUGAGUUACAAGAUAAGGCAAGAUACGUUUUAGUAGGAUGGUACAAAGUUCUCUGCAAUUUAUAGGAGGGAAAGAUUAUUAGGGGAAAAAAUGUUUGGUUGGCAAAAUAUACUGAAUGUGGACAAACUGUCUCUGGUUACUGCCAUGUAGAGAAAAGACCCACGACUAGGGAUAAUAAUCCUGCACCAAUAGGUAAGUACCAAAAGGAGAGAAAUUUGUUUGUCUUAUUCAUUGAUGUAGCCUGUGUGCCAUGAAGAUACUUGGUACAUAGGAAGGGCUCACUAAAUAUUUAAGCGAAUGAAUAUAAUUGGAAGAAAAGGAUCUGAGAUGUCUGACUCUUUUCUAGCUCCAUGAAGCUUCUUGCCUCAGACUUCAGAAGAAAUUUGGGCAAACAUGCCCAGUUAUUUGCAUGCAGGGAGUCUGUUUCUUGAAAGUUUUUUUUGUUUGUUUGGGUUUUUUUUGUUUUGUUUUGCUUUUUAGGGCUGCAGCCCAGGCACCAACUCAUCAUCAAGUAGAGAAAAGUUAUAUAUCAUGUGUUAGAAAGCUUAGGCCUGGAGUUCCUGUCGUGGCUCAGUGGUUAACAAACCCGACUAGUAUCCAUGAGGAUGCAGGUUUGAUCCCAGGCCUUGCUCAGUGGGUUAAGGAUCCAUCGUUGCCAUGAGCUGUGGUGUAGGUCGCAGACACAGUUUGGAUCCCAUUUUGCUGUGGCAUAGGCCAGCAUCUGUGGCUCAGAUUCGACCCCUAGCCUGGGAAUCUCCAUAUGCGGUGGGUGCAGUCCUAAAAAGACAAAAAAAGAAAAAAAAAGAAAAGAAAGGAAAGUUUAGGCCUAGAGCAGUUCUAAACAUCCUUGCCAAAGGACUGGGGAAGUGCUCCCAAUCCUGGAAUAUGUGUGUGCCUCCAUCACCAUCACAGGCCUUUUGUAAAUGAUCUCACUUUCCUGAUAGGCAGUUGGAACUCAUGAAGCCUCUUAGACAUUGGAAAAUACGUGUGCCUCCCCAAGCCUGUAUUCUGAGUCAUUGAUGAAAUGUUCAUCUGUGACAAAUCAUCUCUAUUACCCCACUUAUAUAUUUAGAUUUCUAAUUGUGAAUUAAUUCAUUCAGCAGACACUGCCUAAACACCUAUCACACAGGUACCAUCCCUGACUUCAAGGAGGCCAGGUAUGGGGAGUUAGACACAUAAAUGGAUAAUUAUGAUGUAUUAUAAGUGCUAUAAAAGAAAUAUGCCUAUGAUUUAAGACUGUAAAAAUGUUUAUUUACUUAUGAAUGUAGAAAUUCAUUUAUUAGAGUUAUAAUCACUGAAAAACCCAACUAUAAGGAAGCAUUUAUAGGACACAAAUAAUGGAAUAAAUACCUUGAGUUAAUUACUGUGUUGUUAUAUGAAUUAUAAUAUGUUUCCUUUUUGGAAUGUAUUUAGCAUCUACAGAUGUAGUUUUAGUUUUUAAUUAUGUUUCACUAGAAAGUCUGAUCUAAAUAUAUGAUCCAGUUUUAAGCUUUUAUAUCUGUACUAAGCUCUCAUGCUUUUGGAUUCUGUUACUGUCACAUGGGACUUCCAGGUCCAGGUGAUACCACUGCCUGUGAACCUGAUUCUUCCUCAGUAAGAUGAUUCCAUCUGUGCUGAUACAGGGACUCUUUAUUUUUAGGACAGUUAUUGCUAUGGUUACUGUGAACCACAGAGUUGGCCUUCAGUACUGUGUCCCUGAACAGUUAGUAUUUUCCACAGAAAUUCUGUAGCAACAGAAUAAAUGAAAUAAACUGUAUCAUACAUAUGGUGCAAAAAAGCUAUCAUCACAAAACAUUCACUUGAUUGUGUGAUUCAUUUGAAUGCAUAAUGCAAAGAUUUAAAAGAAUCUCUUUGCUCUUCUACAAUAAGGUAAAAAAAUGUCUGACCAAUGCAUUUAAAACAAAUGCAUUUAAUUCAGAGCCAUUUUUUUAUUAACCAAAAUAGGAAAUAAUCUGAAUGACCAUUAACAAUAGACUCAGUAUAUACAUUGUGAUACAUUUGACAAUAAAAUACUGUGUAUCUAUGAGAAAGAAACUAGCUAUUGGCCUAAUCAGGCAUCUUGCAAAUGUAACAUUGAAUAAAUGAGGGAACACAUCCAAAAAAACCAAAAAUAACCAAAAAAAAAUGCGUUUAGAAAGAUGUUUAAUUAAUUACCAAACGAGCAGGAGAAUGUAAGUUGAAUGUUGUUAUUAUUUCCAAAUCCAGGUUGGGAAUUGAGUAAUUAAAAUUAAAAGACAUGGGAGUCCCCAUUGUGGCUCAGCGGAAAAGAACCUUACUAGUAUCCAUGAGGAUGCAGGUUCAAUGCCUGGUCUUGUUCAGUGGGUUAAGGAUCCGGUGUUGCUGUGAGCUGUGGUGUAGGUGGAAAACGUGGCUUGGAUCUGAUGUUGCUGUGCCUGUGGCGUAGGCUGGCAGCUGUAGCUCCUAUUUGACCCGUAGCCUGGUAACCUCCAUAUGCCGUGGUUACAGCCCUAAAAAGACAAAAAAUAAUAAUAAAAUAAUAAUAAAAUUAAAGUAUAUAGAACAUUUGCAGGGGAUACUGAAUGCUUUACUCAUAAUGAUAUUUAAUUAAUGAUGUAUGAAUACUAUAAUUGGUAAAAAUAUAAAAGAAAAUUUUGCUUUUAAGUCAUAAUUUGCCUUGCAGAGCACUGUUUGGAACAUUAUUAAGAAUUAUUAUUUCAGUUUUCAAACACAAAAUAAAAUGUAUGACUUUUCCAAAUGUCACAGAACCUUCCGAUUUACAUCAUAACCACAUAUAAUAAUGUUCUUAUUUUGCAACGGAUUUCCAGAAACAUAAGUCUUUAGCAAUAACCACAAUCCUUUUUAGUUAGUUUCAUAAUUUGGGGCCACAUUUCAAAAGACUUACUUUAAAGUAAAACUCUUUGCCCAGAUCCUUUCAAAUAGAGUCAUUGGCAGGUAAUGCAAUUUUCACUAGGUGGUCUAGUUUCUGAGUUCCAAAGCUGAUUUUCAGCCCCAAAACAAAAAUAAAGACAAAAGGGGAAAAACCCUGUUUCCCUCUGCAAACUGGGUUAUGGAGGUAAGUCAGGAUUCACGUGGAGGAUUCCACUCUCAGUAGUACAACUGCUUCAUGUGAAUAACUUGAAACUCUAGAGAUCCUGAGAACUCAUGAGGAUUAUAUCAAAUUUUGAAACACAUCUUGCCAACUGAGUAAGAGGCCAUUAUGAAGCAACAUUUAAUUUUUGUUGCUAAAACUAGCUGGAAGCUCCUAUUGCAGCUUAAGAAGCUGACGGAUUUUCUGUGAGGAUGUGGUUUCCAUCCCUGGCCUCGCUCAGCGGGUUAAGGAUCUGGUGUCGCUGCAAGCUGCAGCAUAGGUCACAGAUGCAUUUGGAUCCAGUGUUGCUAUAGGCUGGCAGCUGCAGCUCCUAUUCAACCCCUAGCCCAGGAACUUCCAUAUGCCACAAGUGUGGCCAUAAAAAGCAAAAAAAAAAAAAAAAAAAG